RNAcentral lists this ribosomal RNA (253 nucleotides) under uncultured bacterium. Its description in RNAcentral is "partial 16S ribosomal RNA". It matches the Rfam family "Bacterial small subunit ribosomal RNA", at positions 524 to 776 of the family's 1533-position model. The record is from RNAcentral.
GACGUAGGGUGCGAGCGUUGUCCGGAUUUAUUGGGCGUAAAGAGCUCGUAGGCGGCUUGUCGCGUCGACCGUGAAAACUUGGGGCUCAACCCCAAGCCUGUGGUCGAUACGGGCAGGCUAGAGUUCGGUAGGGGAGACUGGAAUUCCUGGUGUAGCGGUGAAAUGCGCAGAUAUCAGGAGGAACACCGGUGGCGAAGGCGGGUCUCUGGGCCGAUACUGACGCUGAGGAGCGAAAGCGUGGGGAGCGAACAGG